This 90-nucleotide non-coding RNA is filed under the name Desulfobacterales bacterium. Its description in RNAcentral is "c-di-GMP sequence". It matches the Rfam family "c-di-GMP-I riboswitch aptamer". From Rfam's summary of the family: GEMM was predicted in a large-scale screen for bacterial structured RNA regulatory elements. Lineage: Bacteria; Pseudomonadati; Thermodesulfobacteriota; Desulfobacteria; Desulfobacterales. The record is from RNAcentral.
GGUAUCAAAAUGCAAACCACUCCAAACGGUGGGACGCAAAAUCGCUGGCCCAAAUCCUGAGCUUUCAGGAUAUGUCGUAGGGCUGCCGGG